Molecule: ribosomal RNA, 785 nt
Filed under: Salmonella enterica subsp. enterica serovar Cotham
Lineage: Bacteria; Pseudomonadati; Pseudomonadota; Gammaproteobacteria; Enterobacterales; Enterobacteriaceae
Description: partial 23S ribosomal RNA
Rfam family: Bacterial large subunit ribosomal RNA
Source: RNAcentral
CUCGAUGAGUAGGGCGGGACACGUGGUAUCCUGUCUGAAUAUGGGGGGACCAUCCUCCAAGGCUAAAUACUCCUGACUGACCGAUAGUGAACCAGUACCGUGAGGGAAAGGCGAAAAGAACCCCGGCGAGGGGAGUGAAAAAGAACCUGAAACCGUGUACGUACAAGCAGUGGGAGCACCCUUUGGGGUGUGACUGCGUACCUUUUGUAUAAUGGGUCAGCGACUUAUAUUCUGUAGCAAGGUUAACCGUAUAGGGGAGCCGCAGGGAAACCGAGUCUUAACCGGGCGUUAAGUUGCAGGGUAUAGACCCGAAACCCGGUGAUCUAGCCAUGGGCAGGUUGAAGGUUGGGUAACACUAACUGGAGGACCGAACCGACUAAUGUUGAAAAAUUAGCGGAUGACCUGUGGCUGGGGGUGAAAGGCCAAUCAAACCGGGAGAUAGCUGGUUCUCCCCGAAAGCUAUUUAGGUAGCGCCUCGUGAAUUCAUCUCCGGGGGUAGAGCACUGUUUCGGCUAGGGGGCCAUCCCGGCUUACCAACCCGAUGCAAACUGCGAAUACCGGAGAAUGUUAUCACGGGAGACACACGGCGGGUGCUAACGUCCGUCGUGAAGAGGGAAACAACCCAGACCGCCAGCUAAGGUCCCAAAGUCAUGGUUAAGUGGGAAACGAUGUGGGAAGGCCCAGACAGCCAGGAUGUUGGCUUAGAAGCAGCCAUCAUUUAAAGAAAGCGUAAUAGCUCACUGGUCGAGUCGGCCUGCGCGGAAGAUGUAACGGGGCUAAACCAU